This 292-nucleotide ribosomal RNA is filed under the name uncultured bacterium. Its description in RNAcentral is "partial 16S ribosomal RNA". It matches the Rfam family "Bacterial small subunit ribosomal RNA", at positions 505 to 796 of the family's 1533-position model. The record is from RNAcentral.
GUGUCAGCAGCCGCGGUAAUACGUAGGGUGCGAGCGUUGUCCGGAAUUAUUGGGCGUAAAGGGCUCGUAGGCGGUUUGUCGCGUCGGAAGUGAAAACACGGGGCUUAACUCUGUGCUGGCUUUCGAUACGGGCAGACUAGAGGGAUGCAGGGGAGAACGGAAUUCCUGGUGUAGCGGUGAAAUGCGCAGAUAUCAGGAGGAACACCGGUGGCGAAGGCGGUUCUCUGGGCAUUCCCUGACGCUGAGGAGCGAAAGUGUGGGGAGCGAACAGGAUUAGAUACCCGCGUAGUCC